CGGGGCGUAGCGCAGACGGGAGCGCGCCUGCCUUGGGAGCAGGAGGUCGCUGGUUCAAGUCCAGCCGUCCCGACCA
RNAcentral lists this transfer RNA (76 nucleotides) under Thermotogota bacterium. RNAcentral describes it as "Thermotogae bacterium tRNA-Pro". It matches the Rfam family "tRNA". Rfam says of the family: Transfer RNA (tRNA) molecules are approximately 80 nucleotides in length. Lineage: Bacteria; Thermotogati; Thermotogota. The record is from RNAcentral. RNAcentral also lists the same sequence under 2 other names.